RNAcentral lists this long non-coding RNA (792 nucleotides) under Numida meleagris (helmeted guineafowl). RNAcentral's name for it is "lncRNA (ENSNMEG00000016029.1)". Lineage: Eukaryota; Metazoa; Chordata; Aves; Galliformes; Numididae. The record is from RNAcentral.
AGGAACUAAUCAGAAAUUCAGCACGAUCUGAGGAUCCUGCCUAUCUCUCCUUCUGCUGGGCUGCGCUGAGAUAACAAGAAGCAAGGAUGUCAAAUCUCAGGGUACUUUCGACAGAGACAAUGGAUUCAUGUAACCUAGGUCCUUUGAAGCACCAGCAGAAAUUCUUCAUUAUACACAGCCUAAUGGUUUCUCAGGAUGUCAGACGAAUCAGAUCUGCCUCUACAGCUGUACUCAGCUUGGAGGGGAGGACACAGUAUGACAAAUAAAGCAGCAAGGCACGGAAGUGAGCACCACAGACAUCCACCAAAAGAGUGACAGUGCCUCUGGUCAAUGCCAUUAGACUACAGCUCCUGGAAGUCUUUGAAAAGUUUUUCUCCCACAGUGAAAGGGAAUGAGUCACAUCAAAGUUGAAUAAUGCAAGCUAAAAAGCCCCUCUUUUCCUCUUCCACUUCCUAAUUAAGAUUAGUGUGUAAUCUGCAUGAAGAGCGAGGUUCAGCAAAACCAAGCAAUGGAAGUGCUGCAAAUACAGGGCGAGAACAUUUCUUUGCUAAUUGAAGCUUUUCAAGUAGCCUCCACAGGCCACCAAGAGACAAAUUACACUCUGGAUGAGUUGGAUGAGGGAGAUCUCUAAAGACGAAAGUAGGAGAGGGAGAAAGUGAAAAGAAAAUAUUCUGAGGGAUAUUUCUGGUGGGAAAUUUCCAAGUCACUUGUACCAUCCAUACAAACUUUCUAGCUCUACUUGGCCUGAAAUUGGUGAUAUUCACCCUAAAUUUCAGCCUGAACACUCAACGC